GAUGAACGCUGGCGGCGUGCCUAAUACAUGCAAGUCGAGCGAACGGACGAGAAGCUUGCUUUUCUGAUGUUAGCGGCGGACGGGUGAGUAACACGUGGAUAACCUACCUAUAAGACUGGGAUAACUUCGGGAAACCGGAGCUAAUACCGGAUAAUAUUUUGAACCGCAUGGUUCAAAAGUGGAAGACGGUCUUGCUGUCACUUAUAGAUGGAUCCGCGCUGCAUUAGCUAGUUGGUAAGGUAACGGCUUACCAAGGCAACGAUGCAUAGCCGACCUGAGAGGGUGAUCGGCCACACUGGAACUGAGACACGGUCCAGACUCCUACGGGAGGCAGCAGUAGGGAAUCUUCCGCAAUGGGCGAAAGCCUGACGGAGCAACGCCGCGUGAGUGAUGAAGGUCUUCGGAUCGUAAAACUCUGUUAUUAGGGAAGAACAUAUGUGUAAGCAACUGUGCACAUCUUGACGGUACCUAAUCAGAAAGCCACGGCUAACUACGUG
This 497-nucleotide ribosomal RNA is filed under the name uncultured bacterium. RNAcentral's name for it is "partial 16S ribosomal RNA". It matches the Rfam family "Bacterial small subunit ribosomal RNA", at positions 28 to 507 of the family's 1533-position model. The record is from RNAcentral.